AUUGAUCUCAAGAUCCAUGGCUCCAGAAGCCACCUUGGGCUCACUUAACUCACUAAAAGCAGCACUGAUUUUACUUUUGGAUUCAAUUGAGUUGGUUUUGCUCAAAUCAUUCUCCAAAUUUGUCUGUCCUCCACUGUUCAUUCCAAGUUCCAGGGGUGAGCUGCCAUUUUCAGCCACAUCAUGCAUAUCUUGUGAAAACUUUGGAAUGCUAUUGCUAGAUUGUUGAAGCAAACCAUUUUUCUUAAAUUUGACAUACUGGAACUCUUGAUUUCAUCAUCUUCUUCUUCUUCUUCAUCAUCAGAUGCAUAGUUAGCAAGACCCAAUACAUUUCCUGGGGCACCAGAACUGGAUUUUUCACUUACAUCUUCAGUUUCAGACUCUCUUGCUUUAACAGGAACUAGAACCUUUGCAGAUGCCUUCAGAGUUGGGACUUCUGGAGGAGAUGGAGCUGCCUUAUGAUUUGAAGUGACAGUAUCGUGCUCAACUUCAACAGUCAGAUCAUCUUCGUGAAGAACUUUUGUAGCAAUUUCAUCAAACAGCUCAUCAGUAACCUUCAGAAGAACUUCUGUUAGAACACGUUUUAUUUCUUGAUUAAUGGCUGCAUUUCUAGCAGCUUCC
RNAcentral lists this unclassified non-coding RNA (618 nucleotides) under Hevea brasiliensis (rubber tree). Lineage: Eukaryota; Viridiplantae; Streptophyta; Magnoliopsida; Malpighiales; Euphorbiaceae. The record is from RNAcentral.